RNAcentral lists this long non-coding RNA (232 nucleotides) under Carica papaya (papaya). RNAcentral describes it as "long non-coding RNA (CPAP_LNC010593)". Lineage: Eukaryota; Viridiplantae; Streptophyta; Magnoliopsida; Brassicales; Caricaceae. The record is from RNAcentral.
UUUAUAUCAUUUACUAGUUAUUGACGGUGGAUUUAAGCACAGCGUUUGUGCAACUGUUAAGGAACAAGUUGCCAAGACUCUUUACUUAUUAGGACAUAAUGAGAGAAAUUGAGUCCUAUCUUGGCAUUUUCGACGAUUCGAAAAGACAAGUCAUCAUUUUCAUAUUGUGCUUCGAUGUAUAGUACAAAUGGCAGAUAAAUUUCUUAUUCAGCCAGAUGGAUCACAAGUGCCU